UGCCUUUUGGAAUCUGGCUUGAGAUGUCUGAAAGGCAGUUGGAGGUCAGCAGAGAGACUGGGGCCAGAAAGGUUGAUUUGAGAAUCAUUAUCACAGAGAUGGCAAGCUCACUUGGUCAGAUCACCAAGUAAAGGAGAAUAGAAGAAGAAUACCCUAAGGGAUACCCACAGUUAGAGGCUGUAAUCUGGAGGAGACUGAGAAAGAGUGGUCAGAUAGGUAGGAGAAGAACCAGGAGAGAAUGGCAUCCUGAAAACCUAGGGAGAGGUGGGUGAUCUCCUGCAGAGAGGUCGAGGAAAAUGAGGACUGGAAAAGGCCAUUGGAUUUGGCAACCAAGUAAUCAUCAGUAACUCUGGAGAGAGCCUUUUCAGUGGAAUGAUAACCUCAGGAGCCCAAUUCUAAGGGGCUAAGAAGAGAGGUAGAAGAGAGAAAGUGGAGGCAUUUAUUAGAAACAGCCUUUUCAAGGGAUUUCACCAUGAAGGGCAGAAGAGAUCAUGAUAGCAAUAAUAGCUAGCGUUUGCAUAGUGCUUACUAUGUGCCAGACCCUGUGCUUUACCAUUAUUAUCUCAUUGGAUUUUUCACAACAGCCCUGCGAGGUGGGUACUAUUAUAUCUCCAUUUUACAGAUGAGGAAACUAAGGCAAACUGGGCUAAGUGACUUGCCCAGGGCCACAGCUAGUUUCUGAGGCCAGAUUUAAACUCUGGGCUUCCUGACUCCAGGCAUGGAGCUCUAUGCACUCUGACACCUAGUACAUGAAUAAGCACUCCUUCCCUUUCUUCCACAGAACCAUCUUACUGUGUGUAAAAUGCAUCUGAGAGAUCGAGAAGGACGUGGACUGAAAGAAAGACUUAUAUUUAGGGGUUAUAUUAUCAGCAAUAGUUUCUCUACAUAUUAUUUACCAAGUAUUUCUUAAAAUCUGAGUACAUAUUUUGGGAACCCACUACUUUAGCAACAGGAAACUCAACUGACCUGGAAGAAAUAUCAGGUUAUUAAGGAAACACAUGAAUACAUUUCUUAAUGGCAGAAAGGGACUCAGGGUAUUUUUCCCUCUUUGUGGAAAAGCAGUUGAAAUGAAAUGGU
Molecule: long non-coding RNA, 1077 nt
Organism: Dromiciops gliroides (monito del monte)
Lineage: Eukaryota; Metazoa; Chordata; Mammalia; Microbiotheria; Microbiotheriidae
Exons: 3
Source: RefSeq, a predicted model, not a curated record